Molecule: ribosomal RNA, 387 nt
Filed under: uncultured bacterium
Lineage: Bacteria
Description: bacterial SSU rRNA
Rfam family: Bacterial small subunit ribosomal RNA
Source: RNAcentral
GACGAACGCUGGCGGCGUGCUUAACACAUGCAAGUCGAGCGGUAAGGCCCUUUCGGGGGUACACGAGCGGCGAACGGGUGAGUAACACGUGGGUGACCUGCCCUCAGCUCUGGGAUAAGCCUGGGAAACUGGGUCUAAUACCGGAUAUGACCCCAUGACGCAUGUCGUGGGGUGGAAAGCCUUGUGCGGCUGAGGAUGGGCCCGCGGCCUAUCAGCUUGUUGGUGGGGUGAUGGCCUACCAAGGCGACGACGGGUAGCCGGCCUGAGAGGGCGACCGGCCACACUGGGACUGAGACACGGCCCAGACUCCUACGGGAGGCAGCAGUGGGGAAUCUUGCGCAAUGGGCGAAAGCCUGACGCAGCGACGCCGCGUGAGGGAUGACGGCU